CCACAUCUCCUUUCGUGUCAUAUUAAACACACUACUUAAGUUUGCAAAUUACCAGUACUAUUUGGAUCGAAUUAUGUGUUCAUGUUUAUGUUAAUAUGUUCUCGUGUCAUUGAACCAUAAUUUUAUAUAUUUUAUAUGCAUGACCUCCUGCAACUAUCGGAGGAAUAAAAGCAAAAUGUUGUGGUCGAAUAUGUGAACAUUGAAUGUAUCUCGUCAUUCGGAGAAUCUAUUUUAAUGAUAGAUCUUUUAUCGUUUCUGUUCAAUAAGUUUAUAAACAUAUGUCCUUAAACAUUGUGUUUUUAAUCAUUCC
This 310-nucleotide long non-coding RNA is filed under the name Mytilus galloprovincialis (Mediterranean mussel). The record is from RNAcentral. Lineage: Eukaryota; Metazoa; Mollusca; Bivalvia; Mytilida; Mytilidae.